AUGGUUUUUAAUUCUUGGUGUGCCCAAGGGGCCCACCUUCUGUUUUGUGUCCCCCAUUCCCGUCACUCUUCAUUCUCUCUCAGCCCUCUUCUUUCUCUCCCUUAUCUCUCUCCCUCUCUAUCACCGUGAGCACCCACACACACACACACCCACCACCACAACUACCUAGCUACGCCACCACCAUCACCUAUGGAACUUUCUUCUCUCUCUCCCCCAUCUCGACGAAGCUCUGGGACACCCAGAGAACACCCAAGUCUCCCCCGACGACUCCGGUGACUUUCGAGGUAAUUUUCGGCCAAACCACGGUGAGUUGGCCGUCGUGUAAGGUAUUAAUCUCUUCGUCUCACUGAGAACUACAACUUUCCUUUUUGUUUCACUCAUUUUUGUUGAGUAUUGAAGAAGUUAUACUCAUUUGAAUCUUACCCAGUUUCCGACGACCUCCGAGACUUUCGAGGCAUUUUCCGGCCAAAACACGGCGAGUUAGACAUCGUGUAAGCCCAAUUUUCUCGGCAAACCCGUGCUUUCCAGGCCAUUUUUCAGCGAACUCCGACCACGAUGAUGGGAACCAAGGGGGCAAUUAUAGUGGCGUUUCUGUCUUCGCUAGCUGUGUGACUUUUCGACGGCGAAGUACUGACUUAGGAUCAAGGCACCUAAUCCCAGCGUCAAAGCAUUUCUAUAGCAGCAUCUUCGGAUCCUCUCGAUGUAGGACUUACUCCUUUUUUCAUUUAAUUUUAUCUUAAUUCUUUUUAGUGAUUAGGUAUAGUUGUAUGCUCUG
Molecule: non-coding RNA, 775 nt
Organism: Malus domestica (apple)
Lineage: Eukaryota; Viridiplantae; Streptophyta; Magnoliopsida; Rosales; Rosaceae
Source: RefSeq, a predicted model, not a curated record